This is a long non-coding RNA of Cyprinus carpio (common carp), 1569 nucleotides long. The record is from Ensembl. NCBI's taxonomy places the organism in Eukaryota, Metazoa, Chordata, Actinopteri, Cypriniformes, Cyprinidae.
AUUUUGCAAACAUUUUGGGAACGCUUGAAACACAUAGUAACGUUUAAAAAACACUUAACAAACGUCAAGCUAAAACAUAAAAAUACUUAAAAACGUGCCUAAAUAACAUUUUCGGCAAGUUAUUAAAACCCAUUUAUCUUUGAACGAACGUUCUAUUAACAUUCCUGGAAGAACGUUUGUUCCAAAAAACUGUCAGAAUGUUAGCUAAAGUUCUGUGAACGUUUCCUGUAAGUUGGGCAGUAACUGAAACAUAGCAACGUAAAUAAACUUCUCACUGCUUUUUGUUUUGUAAUAUUUAGAAAACAGAGAACCAAGUCUAGAAUUUAUGAAUAUAGGAUAUGUUACUUUUGAAGGGUAAGACUCAAAAUAUAUAGUCUACUAAAAAGGUGUAAUAUUUAAAUACCAUGUCCUUUCAUCGUUGUGAUUUGAGGCAUUUAUAAUAAUAAAAAUAAAACAAAACGAAGACGCUUUCCAUAUGAAACUGGCAACAACAACAAAAAAAGUAUCUCCUCUCCGCUAGAUGUCGACAAACCGCUUGGGCGUGUGACGUCAUCGACGUGCGCCGAGCUCUGCCUGCGACCAUAACAACGCCAGAUAACCCUCACUUUUAUCGAUAUCAGCGAUAGUGCGAUAUUGAUAGGAAUUUAUUCGCACAGCCUCAAAGGUCCUGCACACCUCGUCCCUGAGACCGACACACGACAUUUUUCAGUGUGCAGAUUAGAAAAGUGCAUCCACAGAAUUCCAUUUCCAAGAUCCAGCGUCUGCGCCUCGAUGGAGGAGUGCUGCUAGAAACCCAGAACGGGUGGAGAGGCUCCCGGGAGGAAUGGGGUAGAGUUCUCGAUGAGGGUCCCGGCAGCAAACAGCUCCGUUAGAGCAGAAUCAGGCGAGAUGCCUGAGAACGGACGCUCCAGGAGGAAACGGGUGCCGAAGACAUGCGACUGCUGCGGGCCCCACGGCAAGUCCCUCGCCCCGGGACACCAGCAGGUGUCCAAGAAACGCGGCCGCAGGAAGAAAGAGAUGCUGAGCCAAGAAGAAGAAGUGGCGGCGGAGGAGGAGGUGGUGAGCUCGGCGGCGGUGGACUCGGUGGUGACUUUGGAAGCGGACGCCGCUUCUGAGAUGGACGAGGCUCCGUCUCCUAAAGAGAAGCCAGAGCUUUCUCAGACUGAGAGAGGGAGUGAAAGCACCGUCCUGGUGAACGGCUUGGAGAACAGCGUUCCCAGCGACACCAGAGAGCUGAGCAGCUCUGCCACACACAAUGACUUGAUGAAAAAACCCCGCACAGAGCCGGAUGCAAUGGAAACCGCGAUGCCCGGUCUGAGCGCUUCCUGGGACCAUCACUACUGCAGACCCCUCGCUGAGGAGCACAGGAGCGACUCCACGGAGGAGACGGGACAGCCGCCUGCACUGCCUCCGGUUGAGUUCACCACUGAGGGCAUCAUCGAGUGCAUUCAUGAAUUCCUCGAGCAGUUCUACGGGAAAUACGGAAGCUUCACUCCGUUGAGUGAGACCGACGUCCUCGAUCACCUAAAUAAGAUGUUCCAGUCUGAUCUAAAUGACAGGCAAGUUUAA